CUAUUUCCCUCCCUCUUGCCGUUCUGGAGGAUGAGGCGGGGUAGCUGGAAGCAAGAGAAGGGGUGCCGGGCUUAUUGCACCCCCAGGACCCCCAGGAUCCUCCCCCUCCCUUGAGGGACCCUAUACUGCUUACGCCCCCCCCCCCGCCCCGGCUGAACACGCUGCUGUUGGCCUCACCCUUUGGAUGGAACUUGCAGCGGCCGGGACAGAGUUGCGGUUUGGGGCAAAUCAAGUUGGGUUGGGGGCUCUGGAAGAAGGUGAGGAGUCUAUGGAGCAUAAAAGCAAGGAGCAGCGGCUGAGGCUCUGGGUGCAGGGUGUGGUUCACGAGGUCACCAAGGAGCCCUGGGACUGAAGCCCCUUUCCCUAGAACCCCGGCUCUACGUCUCGAAGUUCUGGAGGGUGCCGCCCCUCCGCACCACGUCACUGCAGGCUCUAGCUGCUCUUCCAGGCUUUCUGCUCCCUCUGCUGGCCGUUCUCACACAUGACACCCGCUCGGAGUCGAAGCAGAAGAGCUGGGGAACUGAAGGAGGAGCCCAGUUGAAGGAGGAGCCCCUCACUAAAGCCCACUUAAAAGCCCAGGAGAAAGUAUAAGCCAGGCGCGGUGGCUCACGCCUAUAAUCUCAUCACUUCGGGAGGCCAAGUCGGGUGGAUCAAGAGGUCAAGAGAUUGAGACCAUCCUGGCCAACAUGUUGAAACCUCGUUUCUACUAAGAAUACAAAAAUUAGUGGGCGCCUGUAAUCCCAGCUGCUCGGGAGGCUGAGGCAGAAGAAUCACUUGAACCCAGGAGACGGAGGUUGCAGUGAGCCAAGAUCGUGUCACUGCACUCCAGCCUGGUGACAGAGCGAGACUCGAUCUCAAAAAAAUAAAAAAGAAGAAAGAAAGUAU
This 885-nucleotide non-coding RNA is filed under the name Homo sapiens (human). Lineage: Eukaryota; Metazoa; Chordata; Mammalia; Primates; Hominidae. The record is from RNAcentral.